GAUGAAGAACGUAGCGAAAUGCGAUAAGUAGUGUGAAUUGCAGAAUUCAGUGAAUCAUCGAAUCUUUGAACGCACAUUGCGCCCCUUGGUAUUCCAUGGGGCAUGCCUGUUCGAGCGUCAUUUGUACCUUCAAGCUUUGCUUGGUGUUGGGUGUUUGUCUCGCCUUUGCGUGUAGACUCGCCUUAAAAUAAUUGGCAGCCGGCGUAUUGAUUUCGGAGCGCAGUACAUCUCGCGCUUUGCACUCAUAACGACAGCGUCCAAAAGUACAUUUUACACUCUUGAGCUCGGAUCAGGUAGGGAUACCCGCUGAACUUAAGCAUAUCAAUAAGCGGAGGA
RNAcentral lists this unclassified non-coding RNA (336 nucleotides) under soil metagenome. RNAcentral's name for it is "partial contains 5.8S ribosomal RNA, internal transcribed spacer 2, and large subunit ribosomal RNA". The stretch from base 1 to 120 matches the Rfam family "5.8S ribosomal RNA", at positions 35 to 154 of the family's 154-position model. The record is from RNAcentral.